GGAAGUAAAAGUCGUAACAAGGUUUCCGUAGGUGAACCUGCGGAAGGAUCAUUAACGAUUGCUGUGCACGCAUAUUUAAAGACUCAUGGCUGGCUGGGUUUGUUAAACCCGUAAACUCCUGACGAGAUCAGGAAGGCGUUUGUCUAUCUCACUACUUCUCGCGUUGAGCGAGGAGAUGGCCAUCGUGGUCGUUGUGCUUCUGCGCUGCGAACGAUGUAAAACAAACAACCCAUGGACCCUCAUACAGUAUUAUUCUCUCGCCAUGGUAUACAGGCCUGGCAUAUGGUACGAGUCUCUUGCAGUCUCAAAACCAACCUUACAACUCUGAGCGGUGGAUCACUUGGCUUGUGGAUGCUAUGAAGACCAUAGCUAAGUGUGAGAAUGGCGGCGAGCCGUCGCUAUAUGCGCUGCCCUCUUCUUAUCACAUGUUGAAUGCAUAUUGCGCCCCACCCAGCGGUCGGCUAAACAACCUGCAGACAAAAGCCUGUCAGUUGGAACAAAGGCAAGUGUGUGGCCCUCGGGCAACGGCGGGGGAGCCAGGAGCACACGGGCGUGCGGACCAGCUACUCGUGAGUAGUCAGGCUGAACCCCAUGGUGGGGCACUCCUAGUCGAGUGUGGUGGAUCGGACUCACAUCUCUUGUUGCGCUUUGCGCUAUGGAGUUUGAGUUACUUUGUUGCUGGUGGCAUUUGGGUCGACAUCAGUCGUGCCCGUAAACAACUGCCUUGGCUCGUGCCUCUGCGCGUUUACCUCAUCCAAGGGGCGUGUAUUGAAAGGCCAUAGCUUGGCGAUCACUCUUGCGGCCAGGGCACUACAUACACCAUGCGAGACAUGGUUAUCGUGCGCAGCGGUCCAAAAGGAUAUCGUAAUACGAGAGUCGCGUCUUUGGUACUCUUUGCAAUCAGUGCACGGCGAGUUGGGUUGAUUGAUCCUUUUCCGCAUUCGCUUGUCUGGUAAAGGCUAGUCUCUCUCGUAUUAUUCGAGAAUUGACACAAAGGCCUCACUGCUUUCUUGUUCGCACACAUUUACGCAUGCAAUCUGACAGGGCAGAAACCGCCUGACGAGUUCAGGAUGUGUAUAUAUUUUUCGUUUGACCGACAAAAGUUCCUGACGAGAUCAGGACGAUUUUCAUAGAGUGUGAACAAAAAAGAAAGCGACAGACUUGCGACGAUUCAAUGCACCACCCAGCGUUCGAGUUGUGUGCAACGUUUUGCAAGAGAGACUGCGUCUCUCCGUGUUCGUUUUGAAGCCACCACCUCGACUUAGGAGAGGUUACCCGCUGAACUUAAGCAUAUCAGUAAGCGGAGGAAAAGAAACCAAUCAGGGAUUCCCUUAGUAGGGGCGACCGAAACGGGAUGAGCCCAGCGCAUAACCUCCCGGGCCACCCGGCCUGCGGCGGAAUUUUGCGUUAAGGGAAAGGUCGUAGUCAAACCCCACAGCCACGCGAACUCUAAGUUAGUCACGAAUUGGCUAUCCCAACUAACGGCGGGAAAAUCUCCACGGAGGGUGUAAGACCCGUGUGGGCGCGUGUAAAUGCUGUGUGGGCUCGGCCUCUUUUCCCUGAGAGUCGCGUUGCUUGAGCAUGCAGCGCUAAGCAGGUCGUAAACUCGAUCUAAGGCUAAAUAUUUCCACAAGACCGAUAGCGAACAAGUACCGUGAGGGAAAGUUGAAAAGCACUCUGAAGAGAGAGUCAAAAGACC
This 1699-nucleotide ribosomal RNA is filed under the name Niphargus krameri. RNAcentral's name for it is "eukaryotic LSU rRNA". The stretch from base 1252 to 1699 matches the Rfam family "Eukaryotic large subunit ribosomal RNA", at positions 1 to 398 of the family's 3401-position model. Lineage: Eukaryota; Metazoa; Arthropoda; Malacostraca; Amphipoda; Niphargidae. The record is from RNAcentral.